CAAGCGGUGGAUGAUGUGGUUUAACUCGAUGCAACGCGAAAAACCUUACCUACCCUUGACAUGCCAGGAACUUGCCAGAGAUGGCUUGGUGCUCGAAAGAGAGCCUGGACACAGGUGCUGCAUGGCCGUCGUCAGCUCGUGUCGUGAGAUGUUGGGUUAAGUCCCGCAACGAGCGCAACCCUUGUCAUUAGUUGCUACGAAAGGGCACUCUAAUGAGACUGCCGGUGACAAACCGGAGGAAGGUGGGGAUGACGUCAGGUCCUCAUGGCCCUUAUGGGUAGGGCUACACACGUCAUACAAUGGCCGGUACAGAGGGCUGCCAACCCGCGAGGGGGAGCCAAUCCCAGAAAACCGGUCGUAGUCCGGAUCGCAGUCCGCAACUCGACUGCGUGAAGUCGGAAUCGCUAGUAAUCGCGGAUCAGCUUGCCGCGGUGAAUACGUUCCCGGGUCUUGUACACACCGCCCGUCACACCAUGG
This 477-nucleotide ribosomal RNA is filed under the name uncultured bacterium. RNAcentral's name for it is "bacterial SSU rRNA". It matches the Rfam family "Bacterial small subunit ribosomal RNA", at positions 926 to 1407 of the family's 1533-position model. The record is from RNAcentral.